AAUCCAUGGUGAGGACACUUCUGUAAGAGCUCUUUGUAUCUUUCCCAAGAUUCAUGAAGCGAGUCCAUAUCUUUCUGGAAAAAAUUUGUGAUGUCACUUCUCAUUUU
Pistacia vera is the source of this 107-nucleotide small nucleolar RNA. The record is from RefSeq and is a predicted model, not a curated record. Lineage: Eukaryota; Viridiplantae; Streptophyta; Magnoliopsida; Sapindales; Anacardiaceae.